RNAcentral lists this ribosomal RNA (401 nucleotides) under uncultured bacterium. Its description in RNAcentral is "bacterial SSU rRNA". It matches the Rfam family "Bacterial small subunit ribosomal RNA", at positions 362 to 758 of the family's 1533-position model. The record is from RNAcentral.
UAUUGCGCAAUGGGCGAAAGCCUGACGCAGCGACGCCGCGUGGAGGAUGAAGGUCUUUGGAUUGUAAACUUCUGUUAAGUCCGACCCCCCAAUAUAAUUCUAAUACAGUUAUAUAGUGACGGUACCAUUAGAGAAAGCACCGGCUAAACUCGUGCCAGCACCCGCGGUAAUACGAGUGGUGCAAGCGUUAUUCGGAAUAAUUGGGCGUAAAGGGUGCGCAGGCGGCAAAUUAAGUUUAUUGUUAAAUCUCUCGGCCCAACUGAGAAUAUGCGAUAAAUACUGAUUAGCUAGAGAUUGGAAGAGAGAAGUGGAAUUCUUGGAGUAGCGGUAAAAUGCGUAGAUCUCAAGAGGAACACCAAUGGCGAAGGCAGCUUCUGGUCCAUUCUACGCUCAGCACGAAA